RNAcentral lists this long non-coding RNA (967 nucleotides) under Bos grunniens (domestic yak). RNAcentral's name for it is "lncRNA (ENSBGRG00000017326.1)". Lineage: Eukaryota; Metazoa; Chordata; Mammalia; Artiodactyla; Bovidae. The record is from RNAcentral.
ACUGACUGGGUGCCACCACAACCUCAUUGUCUGGUGUCAGCUCUGUACCUCCUGCAGCUGUUCAUGCCGCUGCUGCUAGUCAACCGUCCCUGGAUGGACACUUCUGAGUGCCAGUCCGUGUUCCAGUAGCUUCCAAGGAUGACCUCAGUUCUUACUUGGUGGUGAUUAGAUCUGUCCCCAAGGUGCUGGUCAGCUUCUCCAGAGAGUCCUGAAUCCAAGAUGCUGAUAUGGAGGCUGACUGUAAAUUAUAUUCAGAGUAACUCCCACAUGGUUCCUGGACCAACUAUAUAUCUCAAUAAGGGUCCCCAGGAUAAACACCUGCCUUGAUCGUGGAAACACAGAGGUUUGCUUGAAGGCCAGUCAAGCCUCAGCCCAGAGGUGCAGUCAGGAGGACACUGCAGACUGGCUUCUCGCAGGACAGAGCAUCCCUGGUCUUACUUACUUACAAUGUGCUAACUUUGGAGCCGCUGUCCAGAACAUCCACGGAGGCUGCUGGGAGCCAACAAAGGGGAGGUAAGUAUGGCAGUUCUAUCAUGAGUUAUUAAGAGAAGAGAUAUUUACUUCUCACUACAAAUGGAGUUUUGUCACAGUUCUUAGAACUCAGUGUGGAGUUCUGGCACUGUAUUCUAAGUGAACUAGCACUUCUUCAAGUUUUUUGGGGAAAUUACUGAUCAAAGAUAAGAAUAUGGUAGAAAAGUUUGGUCUUAUGCUCCAUUAUAUAAAAGAACAAUAUCAAUCCUUUUUAAUGACUAUUUUCAUUCAUACAAGUUAUUUUUACCCAUGUUCAAAACCUGGUUUUCUUACUCGUCUGUAAUGCAAUAUAUCUACUUUUGAAAUGAGACAAACUUUGCAGAAUCUAAUAUCUAAAUCCAUGACUAGGCAAGACUUAGGGGUCCUCUCAUUCAGCCAUGGCCUCCAGAGAACCCUGAGAAACAGUUGCAGCAACAGCCUUUGACCCUUUGUCAAC